RNAcentral lists this ribosomal RNA (261 nucleotides) under Lepidotrigona ventralis. RNAcentral describes it as "partial large subunit ribosomal RNA". The record is from RNAcentral. Lineage: Eukaryota; Metazoa; Arthropoda; Insecta; Hymenoptera; Apidae.
UAGAAUUUUAUAUUAACUUUACCUAGCGGUUAAUGCUGGUUUUUUGUUAAUAUUUGGUUGGGAGGAUUAUUAAAUUUAACAAACUUUAUAUCAUUAUAAACUUUGAUUUAAGAAAAUAUAAUGAUCUUCAAUUUGAAAUAGUUAGAGUAAAUUACCUUAGGGAUAACAGCGUAAUAUUUUUUUAUAGACCUUAUAGAAAAAAAUGGUUGCGACCUCGAUGUUGAAUUAAGAUAAAUUUUAAAUGCAGGAGUUUAAUAAUUA